GAGGGUAUAGCUCAAUUGGUAGAGUGUUUGCUUAGCAUGCAUGAGGUCCUGGGUUCAAUUCCCAGUAACUCCA
Molecule: transfer RNA, 73 nt
Filed under: Camelus bactrianus (Bactrian camel)
Lineage: Eukaryota; Metazoa; Chordata; Mammalia; Artiodactyla; Camelidae
Also listed under: 2 other names
Rfam family: tRNA
About the family: Transfer RNA (tRNA) molecules are approximately 80 nucleotides in length. Their secondary structure includes four short double-helical elements and three loops (D, anti-codon, and T loops).
Source: Rfam by way of RNAcentral